CUGAAGAGGAGACUUAUCUAAACAGGAUUAGCCGAGCCUGUAUGUGACUGAGGGAGUGUGAAAUGCUAGAAGGGUACCGCUGAUCACCUUUUCCAGCCCGAUUCUCCAGCAUUCACAAAAGAGGAUCUUCAGCUGUGUUCUAUGGACCCGGAGAGCCUGGCUUGUGGGCACCUCGUGCCUGGGAGGGGCCGGGAGCCUCCUCAUUAGCACCACGGUCAGCUCACGAGCCUGGAGCGGGUGGAGGGAGAGCUCGCAGCGCCAGCGCUGGAAGGAGGAAGCGCAAGAGCGAACAGGCGGGGGAGGAAAAGGAGAGGAAAGGAAGGAGGCCAGCGGCUCCUGGGCUAGUGCAAGGGAUCUGGAAGCAGUCAGAGCAGCAGGUCAGAGUGGGAACUGUUCACUUGCGCUGGGCAGACUCUAGCAGCUCGCCAGUCACUCUGGGCGGAUGCUGCUGGCGGAGACCGGAUGCCAGUGUUUAA
This 476-nucleotide long non-coding RNA is filed under the name Fukomys damarensis (Damara mole-rat). Its description in RNAcentral is "lncRNA (ENSFDAG00000025827.1)". The record is from RNAcentral. Lineage: Eukaryota; Metazoa; Chordata; Mammalia; Rodentia; Bathyergidae.